CAGCCGCCACGGGAAUACGUAGGGUGCAAGCGUUAAUCGGAAUUACUGGGCGUAAAGCGUGCGCAGGCGGUUAUAUAAGACAGAUGUGAAAUCCCCGGGCUCAACCUGGGAACUGCAUUUGUGACUGUAUAGCUAGAGUACGGCAGAGGGGGAUGGAAUUCCGCGUGUAGCAGUGAAAUGCGUAGAUAUGCGGAGGAACACCGAUGGCGAAGGCAAUCCCCUGGGCCUGUACUGACGAUCAUGCACGAAAGCGUGGGGAGCAAACAGGAUUAGAUACCCCCGUAGUCCCUGUCUCUUAUAC
This 301-nucleotide ribosomal RNA is filed under the name uncultured bacterium. RNAcentral's name for it is "partial 16S ribosomal RNA". It matches the Rfam family "Bacterial small subunit ribosomal RNA", at positions 509 to 807 of the family's 1533-position model. The record is from RNAcentral.